Oncorhynchus keta (chum salmon) is the source of this 579-nucleotide long non-coding RNA. RefSeq lists it as uncharacterized. The record is from RefSeq and is a predicted model, not a curated record. The transcript has 3 exons. NCBI's taxonomy places the organism in Eukaryota, Metazoa, Chordata, Actinopteri, Salmoniformes, Salmonidae.
CUGUGAAGAACUGAGUUAUGUGACAUAAAGAGACAGAAAGAUAAAGGGAGUGAGAGAAGAAGAGAUGCAGGGUUGAUGUAAUAUCUGAUGAGAUGCAGGGUUGGUAUAAUAUCUGAUGAGAUGCAGGGUUGGUAUAAUAUCUGAUGAGGUGCAGGGUUGGUGUAAUAUCUGAUGAGGUGCAGGGUUGGUGUAAUAUCUGAUGAGGUGCAGGGUUGGUGUAAUAUCUGAUGAGGUGCAGGGUUGGUGUAAUAUCUGAUGAGGUGCAGGGUUGGUGUAAUAUCUGAUGAGGUGCAGGGUUGGUGUAAUAUCUGAUGAGGUGCAGGGUUGGUGUAAUAUCUGAUGAGGUGCAGGGUUGGUGUAAUAUCUGAUGAGGUGCAGGGUUGGUGUAAUAUCUGAUGAGGUGCAGGGUUGGUGUAAUAUCUGAUGAGGUGCAGGGUUGGUGUAAUAUCUGAUGAGGUGCAGGGUUGGUGUAAUAUCUGAUGAGGUGCAGGGUUGGUGUAAUAUCUGAUGAGGUGCAGGGUUGGUGUAAUAUCUGAUGAGGUGCAGGGUUGGUGUAAUAUCUGAUGAGGUGCAGCGUUG